Molecule: ribosomal RNA, 744 nt
Filed under: Streptomyces sp. Sp080513GE-16
Lineage: Bacteria; Bacillati; Actinomycetota; Actinomycetes; Kitasatosporales; Streptomycetaceae
Description: bacterial SSU rRNA
Rfam family: Bacterial small subunit ribosomal RNA
Source: RNAcentral
UGAGUUUGAUUCCUGGCUCAGGACGAACGCUGGCGGCGUGCUUAACACAUGCAAGUCGAACGAUGAACCGGCUUCGGCUGGGGAUUAGUGGCGAACGGGUGAGUAACACGUGGGCAAUCUGCCCUGCACUCUGGGACAAGCCCUGGAAACGGGGUCUAAUACCGGAUAUGACCUGGUGAGGCAUCUCAUUGGGUGGAAAGCUCCGGCGGUGCAGGAUGAGCCCGCGGCCUAUCAGCUUGUUGGUGGGGUGAUGGCCUACCAAGGCGACGACGGGUAGCCGGCCUGAGAGGGCGACCGGCCACACUGGGACUGAGACACGGCCCAGACUCCUACGGGAGGCAGCAGUGGGGAAUAUUGCACAAUGGGCGAAAGCCUGAUGCAGCGACGCCGCGUGAGGGAUGACGGCCUUCGGGUUGUAAACCUCUUUCAGCAGGGAAGAAGCGCAAGUGACGGUACCUGCAGAAGAAGCGCCGGCUAACUACGUGCCAGCAGCCGCGGUAAUACGUAGGGCGCAAGCGUUGUCCGGAAUUAUUGGGCGUAAAGAGCUCGUAGGCGGCUUGUCGCGUCGGAUGUGAAAGCCCGGGGCUUAACCCCGGGUCUGCAUUCGAUACGGGCAGGCUAGAGUUCGGUAGGGGAGAUCGGAAUUCCUGGUGUAGCGGUGAAAUGCGCAGAUAUCAGGAGGAACACCGGUGGCGAAGGCGGAUCUCUGGGCCGAUACUGACGCUGAGAGCGAAAGACUACCCC